This 451-nucleotide ribosomal RNA is filed under the name uncultured bacterium. RNAcentral describes it as "partial 16S ribosomal RNA". It matches the Rfam family "Bacterial small subunit ribosomal RNA", at positions 29 to 523 of the family's 1533-position model. The record is from RNAcentral.
AACGAACGCUGGCGGCAGGUCUUAGGCAUGCAAGGGGAACGGGUGUAGUAAUACACCAGUGGCGAACGAGUGAGUAACGCGUGGGAAUCUGCCCAUCUCUGGGGAAUAACGUUUGGAAACGAACGCUAAUACCGCAUACGCCCGCAAGGGGAAAGAUUUAUCGGAGAUGGAUGAGCCCGCGUUGGAUUAGUUAGUUGGUGGGGUAACGGCCUACCAAGGCGAUGAUCCAUAGCUGGUCUGAGAGGACGAUCAGCCACGCGGGAACUGAGAUACGGUCCAGACUCAUACGGGAGGCAGCAGCUAAGAAUAUUGGGCAAUGGAGGAAGCUCUGACCCAGCCAUGCCGCGUGAAUGAAGAAGGCCUUCGGGUUGUAAAGUUCUUUUAGUCGUGACGAUGAUGACGGUAGCGACAGAAAAAGCACCGGCUAACUUCGUGCCAGCCGCCGCAGUAA